UCUCUUCAUAUUAUUCCACCGAUACAUUUCUUUUAAGUCUCUAUACAUCUUAGUACUUUCUGGAUGGACUGUAUAACCGAUCUGAUGGGCUUCCUAAAGUAUUUUUUGUUUGAGUACUGAAUCAUUGGAUAUGCAAAUUCUAUUUUCGAACCUCAAUGAACCAUCAUCAUGUAUCUUGAAUUCGGAUUGAACAACAGCUUCCACUGAAUCUCUUAUUUUUAUUAAUUGUGGAUCACCAUUCUGGGCAACUUUAAUUCUUUCUAUAAGUGUUGG
RNAcentral lists this long non-coding RNA (273 nucleotides) under Elaeis guineensis (African oil palm). RNAcentral's name for it is "long non-coding RNA (EGUI_LNC040883)". Lineage: Eukaryota; Viridiplantae; Streptophyta; Magnoliopsida; Arecales; Arecaceae. The record is from RNAcentral.